GGUUAAUACCCUGAGUAGAUGACGGUACCCGAAUAAGAAGCACCGGCUAACUACGUGCCAGCAGCCGCGGUAAUACGUAGGGUGCGAGCGUUAAUCGGAAUUACUGGGCGUAAAGCGUGCGCAGGCGGUUUUGUAAGUCAGAUGUGAAAUCCCCGGGCUCAACCUGGGAACUGCAUUUGAGACUGCAAGACUGGAGUUUGGCAGAGGGGGGUGGAAUUCCACGUGUAGCAGUGAAAUGCGUAGAGAUGUGGAGGAACACCGAUGGCGAAGGCAGCCCCCUGGGCCAACACUGACGCUCAUGCACGAAAGCGUGGGGAGCAAACAGGAUUAGAUACCCUGGUAGUCCACGCCCUAAACGAUGUCAACUAGGUGUUGGGAGGGUUAAACCUUUUAGUGCCGUAGCUAACA
RNAcentral lists this ribosomal RNA (408 nucleotides) under Candidatus Accumulibacter phosphatis. RNAcentral's name for it is "bacterial SSU rRNA". It matches the Rfam family "Bacterial small subunit ribosomal RNA", at positions 447 to 857 of the family's 1533-position model. Lineage: Bacteria; Pseudomonadati; Pseudomonadota; Betaproteobacteria. The record is from RNAcentral.